Oreochromis niloticus (Nile tilapia) is the source of this 461-nucleotide long non-coding RNA. RefSeq lists it as uncharacterized. The record is from RefSeq and is a predicted model, not a curated record. Lineage: Eukaryota; Metazoa; Chordata; Actinopteri; Cichliformes; Cichlidae. The transcript has 3 exons.
AGUAAUGUUUGCCUUGACCAUCUGUGAUUUAUUUUUUGAUGAACACAGCUGUUCAGACUAACAGAUUUUAGAUUAUAAUUAUUAUUUUGUGAGUUCUGUCCUCUUGUUUUUCCUGUUUUUUCACAUUUAUUUCAACAACCUGCAAUAAAAUAUCAUCAGAAUAAAAUAAAGAAACAGGUAAAAAUGACAGCUUAUGUUCCAAACAGCACUAACAGCACAGAGGAGUCAGGUGUCACCCAGGCAGCAUGCCAAUCCCUCAUUCAGAACAAUAUACCAACACACCUGGUGACAUCAGCACCAGCAGUCCCUCUGAUUGGCCGUCGGUAUGAGCGAGCUGAUUAGAAGAGGGUUUGGUCGACUAACCUACUAAUCGGUCUACGAAUCAUCCUGCCCAGAUCAGUUGAUGAUUGGUGUGGAGCACCCAUCAUUUCGAUGUACAUGACAAACACAAUAAACGGCGA